GGGAAACUUGCCGAAAGUGGAUUUAUAUGUGAGUAAAUUAAUUUGAAUUGUUCAAAUAUGAGGUAAUUAACAGUUAUUAACUAUAUUGGCUUAAUGUAAAUCUAGACCGACAACAUUGGGAAGGUCGAUGUUUGAUUUUACAAAGUCGGAAAAACGGAAAAUAAUUUACACAACAACGACUUAUUAUUUUCCCAAUUUCUCACUAACAACAGUGGUUCAUCCGUGUUGCAAAGUGUAUGUCAGCUUAAAUUUUGUAUAAUAUUUCUUUGUUUUAGACAGAAAAUACGGUUUAGAUAACUACACGGUCCUGUUUACUGAUUUCAGUAAGUUGACUCAAUUAUCAAUAUUUGCUCGUAUAGAAAAGAAGGCUACUCAUCAACUUAUUUAUCACAGAUAUAUAGCUUCAAAUUUGUUUUCGUUAUGUUUCACAAAAAUUGUUAUCCUUUUGGGCUCAUCUGUCUAUGUGUAUAAACAGAGUGACCCAUUUAUCAUAAAACAGUAAUUUCCUUGUAGGAUUUUAAAUGACUUUCAGUUAUUUUCUUUCAAUCAUUAUGAAAUCAUUUAUGCUUUAUUUUAACAGUUUUUUCGAUUUUUCAUCCCUUUUACGUAUACCUUAAAUGAGUAUAUACAAUUAUAACCCACCCCUUUUCUUUUUAACACAUGCAUAUAAUUUGUACAAGUUUUAAAGUGUUGACUAGGGAGAAUGUAAAUGUUAUAAUUUUAUCAUCUUAAAAUGGAUAUCAAUUUUAUUACACUUUUCUCCCUUCCUCCAAUCUAUAUGCUUAACUAAUAAAAGUUAUAACUCGUGAACGGUAAAUAUAACAUUAGUUGUGUGUGCAUAUCAAAAUGUGUUGAGAAAAAUAUUAUCCCUGCCAGUCUGUGUUUUAAAGCGAGGAUUCAUAUUUGAAAAUCAAAAGUGCAUAGGUACUGAAUUAAGGUAUAAGGUGAACAAAUUAAAAAUAUUUUUCAAAAACUGCUUAAACGAUUCAAUAACUAUUGAGAAAAAAAAAACACUAAUAAAAUUAACUUAAAUUCCUCCAAAAAAAUGUCUGGUUAAUGAUAAAUGAAACGUUUGUUUAUAUGUAGGUAUUUUGAAAUUAAAAUUCUACAUUCAAUUGAGUUUGUAGUAUUUACUUAAAAAGAAAACUUUAAUCAUUUAACUGUUACAAAUUCAAUACAAUUGUCAGAUCGAGAGGUAAUUUUCGUUUUAUUUUCGGCAAAAACAAAAAAUUCAACACACAUAAUACGAAUUUAAAUGCACACAUAAAGAUGAAAUAUGCAUAAUAUAUUUAGCUAUCCAACUAAAUUAAAACUAUUGUACGUUUUAUUUUUUCUAUAGUGUAUUAUAUUAAGUAUACUUCGACAAACUACUGAGACAUUAUUUUUGAAAUUCUGAAAUCAUUUUCGAGUGUAAUUAUAAUUUUCUUCUGAAUUUAUUUUAGUUCUUAACAAUGGUUCCGAAUAUUACUAUACAAAUUUGACACUUAAAAGUAAGUAAAAUAAUAUUGCAUUAACAUUCACAGAUUCAUUGAAAAAUUAAUGCAUUCGUGACUUAGGUGACUUACGUGAACUUAACAAAUUAUAAUAUAUUGUGUAAGCAGUACCUAGCAACUAGGUAAUACGAAUUUGAACUUAGCACAUUUUGUACAUCAACAAAAAUAUAUAUUUUUAAUGCAUUUAAUCGAAGAAUAUGACGCUUGGCAUUCAAUACACAUGCAUAUGUAAAAUUAAUGCGUUCAAAUUCGUAAGUUAUAAUGCGAAAAUGGGCUCGUGACUGCAUUCGUUUCAAACCCCGAAAAAUAUCAGCCUCGGUAUAGAUACGAAUGAUUUAUUUUAACCACACGGUAAACACGGUUUAUUUCAUUACAUUUCUUUGGUGUGUGCUAUUUGAGUAAAGGAUGUUUGGGCACGAAUGAUUAAAGAUCAUAGCACAAUCGGGCUAUUUUAUGGUAUAUUUGGGUUACAAAUGGGCUGUAUAGUAUAUUUGGACACUAAAAAUCACUAGAUUUCGGACCUUGUCAUUUCGCCGUGCCAUUUUCCCGAUACCUUACUUAAACCCGUCGUGGUUUUUCAUCGACUAGUUUCUACGUACGUUUUCAACGCCUACCAGAUAUUUUGACGGUAUGGCAACAACGUAAUUUAUUGACAAAUAAUACUAUUAUUGUAGUCAUAGAAUAAAAUCUAAUAUUUUUUUCCAGUCGAUGAUGCAUGCAGUCAAGAAAAAUGGGGUGGUGAGUGUAGUAUAUAGUAUUAUCAAAAUGUUGGAAAUCAUUGCUAGGUACCACUAAUAAAAAAAUCAUUGUUUUUUAGAAAUAAAAAUAAUAAUUUUUCUAUAUUUGUUUUAGAAUUUGGAAACAAAUACUGCUUAUACUUGGUUACUCAGAUUUAUGAAAUAUUUCAGAACAAUAAUGAAACAGGUUUUUUUUUUUUGUUUUUUUUUGUUAAAAUAAUAAAAAAAAAAGUAGUGAAAUAAAUAACUUCAUAAGAAAUAAUAACAAAUCAUGAUUACCGACGUUAUACAACAACUAAAUCAGUUAUAAAUAUGAACGCAUAAACUGUAUAUGUGUAUUAUAUAUUCAUAUAUCCACAAAACGUGCAUACUGCAAUGUCAUAAUUUAAAAAUUUGUUGUCAUGAUGAGUUUUUCAGUACCUAUAUUUGAUUGAUAAACUAUUAUUCAUGUUUAUAUAAGAAAUCAAACAGUUACUUUAAAAUGUUUUUUAGGGUCCGACAAAAUCUCAGAUUAUUGGUGUUUUACAAGACUAGGUAUGUAUACAUUUAAAAUGGAGGACAUAGUGUAACUAAAAUGGAUUAAAAUUAAGGAAAAUCCGAAGUAUAGAAUAGUAUAUUAUUUUUAUUGUAAUUUAUUUUAAUUUAAAAAAUAAAUUCAAUGUAAAUUUAUUUCCUUUAUACAUAAAAGACAUUAUUUUAAUGAACUGGAAUAAACUUAAUUCAUCAUUCUUUUCAAAUUUUUCACAACUAUUGUUGGUAAUCUACUAAUACAUUUGUACAAGAUUUCCUCCGUUGAAUGAUUGAAUGACGAAAACCUCGAUAUGUAAAUUAUCUAAUAUGGAGUAUAGUUUUAGGUCAAUUUCGUUUAGUGUUUUAUUCUAGCAACAUAUAUUAUACAGAGUCUUCCAAAUGAAAAAAAUGUCAACUCCAAAAUUGAUUUAAACUAAUGCUUUGUCUAUUUAUGGAAUGUUUAAUAUUUAAAUAAAGAGCUAAUACUGGAGAUGGAAGUGGCUACUGUUGUAGGUGAGAAUUUGGGAAGGUAGGAUACACAAGAUUAUUAUUAUUAUUUUUUUUUUUUUUUUUGCGAUUUUCGUUUAAAUUUGAUUUCGCAACGCUUAUUAAAAAAAAAAAAAAAGUCGUCCAAUGAUUUUGGAAAUUUUACCACGUCUAUGUGGGUCCAAUAUAAAUAUUAUUACAAAGUUUCAAGUUUCUAAGUGUAUUUCUAACCGAAUUACAGCAAAAAACUCAGUAAAACAAGUAAAUAUACAAUAUCUACACAAUGUAUGAUCAAUGUACAACAUUAUCUCACUAUAACAAAAAAUUAACAAUAAACAAAUUAUGUAUUUUAUAAUUAGUGUACUAGAAUUUAACGAAUUAUCAUACGAGUUCGUACAAGUACAAUGUUAUAUGAAAUAGUGUCUUCUAGCAUUGAUUUUUUUUUUCAAACAAUUAAAUAGUUGAGUGCAGAUUAAAAUUGCAGAUUAAAAUAAAUAAGUUUGAUUUGUAUUAGUAAAUUUAAAAAGUAACAUUUGAAAAGGCAAACCUUAAAAGAGACAAAAAUACAAAUUUUUCAAAAUCGAAAUCUGUUGGCAAAAUUGGGAAAGUCAAAAUUUAGAAAUUCAAAACUUGGAAAGACAAAGUUUUGAUUUUCCAAUUAUUUAAAACCGUUUUUAUUUUUAGAAUUUAAGUAAUAAUAUGUGUACCCGUGUAUGCUUUUAGGUUUACCUGAAAACGAGGGUAAGUAGGUACUUCACACUAAAAUCAAUCUAUAUUGCAAUAUGAUUUAUUUCAAUUAGUUUUACUUGAUUAAUUUUGCUUGAAUUAUGGGAGUGAGUAGGGGACAUACCCCUUAGUAAAAAAGUAGACACACGUUUUCAUCAAUGUAAUACUUCAAACAAAUAUUGAUAAAAAAAAAAUUAAUAAUGAAAUGAAAAUAAAUAAUAAUAUGUAUAAUGUUUUGACAUAAUAAUAUUGUAACUCUACAUGCCUAUUCGACCCCUCUAACAGCUGAAUCCUCCCAGGAGAAUUUCGAGUAAAGACUACAAUUAUAAUAAUUUGCAUUAAUGUCUUCUUUUUGUAUUCGUGCACGUUUAUGUUGAUGAAUACACGUUGUGACAAUUUUAACGGCGUUCAUAAAUGGUUUACAUGGUUAAUGCUGCUAGAACCACAAUAUAUUUUGGUAUAAUAAUAAUUUGAUAAUAUUAUGUUUUUUCCCAUAGGGCAUUGACGUUUGUUUUUUGUAUUCUCUGGUCACUAGUACUUUCGUUGUUUUCUUAGUACGAGUAAUUGGGAAAACGGACAAUUCGUCCUCGGGAAACCCGUCCCCGUCAUAAUAUUAUAUGCGAACAAUCAGUCCUUGGUAAUUUUUAUUUCAACACGGUUUUAUGAGAAUACGUUUUGAAAUAACUGUAUGAAACCUAUAAGUGACACAGAAAAAAAAAUGGUAUCUAUAUGUAUUUGUCAUAGUUUAAGUAUCAACUUUUAAAAAGUUGAAAUCAAUUGUAAUAAAAUGAAUAUAUGGGUACAAAAUACCUACUAAUCACUUAGAUUACUUAUUACAGCCUACGACGGUAAGAAACAAUUAACAUAAGAUAUACACUAUGAAGGGUAACAACAAUAUACUUACCUAUCCUGAACGGAGUAUCCUCAACAACAAUGUUGAGUUUAAAUACAGGUAUAAUUAUAUUUAUUUAUUAUGUUGAUGAAAACAAGUGGUAGGAAUGAUAAAACAAACACUUGAUUAAAUUAAAAAUGACGAUAUCGGAAUGUUAGAAGCCGGAACAACACGCACUCGCGGGAAGACGAAAAAGUGAGAUGGAGGAGUCUCUUAUGAGAAAGAAAAGGGGAAAAUAGUGAAGUGGUGUUGUCCGGUUCUCAGUACCAUGUUUUAUUAUUAUAUGAGAUAUUUAACUAUAAUACAUACUAUUUGUAUUAAUCUAAAUUGACUUAUAAACUAACAAAAUGAAGUGGUGUCCUCUAUAAUAAAAUGUAGUGUACAUAAUAAUAAUGUUAUAUAAUAUUAUGUUAUGAUACAUAUUAUAUUGUAUAUAUCAUUGCAUAAUUAAUAUUAAUAUAUUUAACAUAUCAAUAUUAAACAUUAAUUUGUAUAAGUAUUAUUUUAUUUUACAAAUUUUUAAAUUAUUUUUACGAUAUUACUCUGAUAAUUUUAACUAUAACUCUUUUUAAUUUAUAAUUCCUAUAACUACCUGUGUUAUCAUAUUUCAUUUUUUACGUUUCAAAAAUUAGUUAAUUAGUAUUAAAAGUUUUUAGCGAUAAGUAAUAAGAAAAAUGUUAGAAAAAAAUGCAUUGAAACGUAAUCUUAUAAAAACAUGGGAAAAAAAUGUACCGGGGACGGAUUGUCCGCUUAUAUGACGUUUUUUCGCGGGGGCCGAUUGUCCGUGGAAGAAUAAUUUGUCCUAGAGUCGUAUAUUUGGUGCAUACGAGAUGAAAAGAAAGAGAAAAGUUGAAAUCUAUGACGAGGUGUAGGGAGGCUGACAAAUAAAAAAAAAAAACAUUACACUUGUACAUUUUUACCUUGUAGAAAAAACAUAUUAUUACUAAUAAGACAACAGAUAGACAGAUGACACUGUGGCGGUAGACUUUUCAUCAAGCGUGGACACAGAAAGAUAGUUUAAGAUAGGUCGUUUAAUAUAAUAUGAGUUAUGAUCGUCUUUAUUGUAAUUUAUAAAUUUGUAAUCAAUUACCGACCGCCGUUAUCAAAAAAGUAAACCGUACACACAGAAAUUGUUGAACCAGAUUCAACUUAACGAUAACCUGGUUAAACAUGCGGUAACACGGAUAAACAUGGUUACUCAAAAGGUCACCACGCUAACCUAGUCGUGAUCAUCCUAGUAAUCAUCGUGAUCAUCAAGAUCACAACGCAGAAAGGUACGUGCACGCGAACGCCGCAGUGGAAACCCACAUUAACAAUCAAAUCGUAAAAUAGUACGCAUAUUACAUACAUAACACGGUCCAUGUGGGAGGUUAGCCCUUAGUAUACCUCGUCUUGAAUUAUUAUCCAUACAUUAGAUAGCAUACUUGAAUAUUUAUUAUUAGCAGAUCUUCGUCAUUAGAUUCUAUUGGUGGAUCCGUCACGGUGCGAAUUACGUUGACUCAUAGACCUACAAAUUAGCUUAUAAAAGUUUUUUAUCAAUUUAUAGGUCUAGGCGUCAGUUUAUUAUUUCUUUGUUUUAGGUAUGGUAUACAUCAUAGAUGAUAACACUAGGCAAACCGUCAUGAAUAACACGGAAUUCCCGGAUGACAUCAGUCGGUUGAACAAUUUCAGUAAGUUACCUUUAUAUACUGGAUUGUCUAUACCAAUAUAUGUAUAUACAACAUAAAGUAGGUAAGUAUUAAAAAGGAAUACUUGGAAAUCAAACUUCUGUGGUUCAUACACGAAUUGUGCCAUUAAAAUUGGUACGAAAAUUAUAUUAUAUUCUGUAUAUUUCUGAUUCGUAUAUGAAGGUUAUAGGGAAAAAACCAGAAAAGGAUUUUUUUUUUUUACAAAUUAAAAAGUUCGGAUUAAGUUUAAUGUCAAACUUUGAAAUGAUAUUAACCAAUGCUAUAGUCGUGUAUUAACCCAACAUUUACCUAGUUAUAUCUUACCUGGUUUUUUUACAUAAAUUUUAAAUUCAGGCAAGUCCAUUUUGCUCGGAUGCAUUAAUCAGACUUUUCUUGUUCUUACAAACAAUUGAAAAACGAAAAAAGUUUUAACUUUACUUUUAAACUUUUACUUCCAUAGUUUUUGCACAACCCCCUUCAAUUAUAGUACUAAAUGUACAUCUUAUUAUCAUCUAGAGAAAAUCCCAGGUUCAAGAAGAAUAAAGAGUUUCCACCAACCAGUCAAUGGGCUGGUUAACAAAGAACACUGCUAACAAACUACACAAAGAUACUAAAACACUUUGUAAUCAAAAUUUUUUAAAUUGUAUUCUAGUUAUGCCUGGAACGG
Molecule: long non-coding RNA, 7178 nt
Filed under: Cinara cedri
Lineage: Eukaryota; Metazoa; Arthropoda; Insecta; Hemiptera; Aphididae
Source: RNAcentral